This 402-nucleotide ribosomal RNA is filed under the name Triticum aestivum (bread wheat). RNAcentral describes it as "partial small subunit ribosomal RNA". The record is from RNAcentral. Lineage: Eukaryota; Viridiplantae; Streptophyta; Magnoliopsida; Poales; Poaceae.
AUGACCAUUGGCCCAGAGCUCUCGGUAGAGGCGCUAUUGCAGUUCUUGGGGCUGUGGGCCAGAUUGGAUGAGGUGCAGCUCAUUGAUGGAGUUGAUGACACGGUGCAGUGGAGUUGGGAGAGCAACGGCCAGUUCUCGGCGCGGUCGGCGUAUGCGGCAAGGUUCUCGGGUCUUCAGGUUUCGCCGGAGGCCGAGGUUACUUGGAGUUCUCGAGAACCUCUCCGUUGCCACUUCUUCAUGUGGUUAGCACUAAAAAAUAGGUGUUGGACCUCGGAUCGAUUGGCUAGACGAGGGCUACCUUGUCAAAGCGCCUGCCCCCUUUGCGACCAAGAGGAGGAAACCAUCGAGCACCUCAUGCUAGGGUGUGUGUUUGCAAGGCAAAUCUGGCAUUGGUUGGGCUGA